Molecule: long non-coding RNA, 474 nt
Filed under: Homo sapiens (human)
Lineage: Eukaryota; Metazoa; Chordata; Mammalia; Primates; Hominidae
Description: HSALNT0357136
Source: RNAcentral
AGAUUGGCAUUGUUGAAGAAAAGCGGGGAGGAAGAUUGGAGAAACAGACUCAGCAGGAGGCAGGAGGGCAGCAAGGCACCAGCCAGCAGCCUGCAGGGCAGUCCCUCGUCAGGAAGGAAGAAGGAGGAGUUGCGGAUGAUAGUGCCAUUUCUAAUCUGCUUUGGCGGGUCACAGAAAGUCGAGAGAGCCAAAUGAUGAUUGAGGAGAGGAAGCAGCUCAUCACUGUGAGAGAGGAGGCCUGGAAGACGAGAGGCAGAGGAGCGGCCAACGACUCGACCCAGUUCACUGUGGCUGGCAGGAUGGUGAAGAAAGGUUUGGCGUCACCUACUGCCAUAACCCCAGUAGCCUCAGCCAUUUGCGGUAAAACAAGAGGCACCACACCCGUUUCCAAACCCCUGGAAGAUAUCGAAGCCAGACCAGAUACGCAGUUAGAAUGGGACCUGAAGCUGGACAGGCUGGAAACCUUUCUAAGAA